GCCGGCCGGGGGACGGACUGGGAACGG
Molecule: small nuclear RNA, 27 nt
Filed under: Arabidopsis thaliana (thale cress)
Lineage: Eukaryota; Viridiplantae; Streptophyta; Magnoliopsida; Brassicales; Brassicaceae
Description: snRNA_00249
Source: RNAcentral